This is a long non-coding RNA of Populus euphratica (Euphrates poplar), 712 nucleotides long. RefSeq lists it as uncharacterized. The record is from RefSeq and is a predicted model, not a curated record. The transcript is spliced from 2 exons. NCBI's taxonomy places the organism in Eukaryota, Viridiplantae, Streptophyta, Magnoliopsida, Malpighiales, Salicaceae.
UAAUCGAUGCAGUAGGGUCACUGUUGUUCACGUAUAUGAAGCAGAAAUCUUUCCAUUUCAGUAUCAUCAUAAUAUUUUCUCAUUUGUCUGAAAGGGGAAAAGGAAGCUAUAAGUUGCAGAAAAGGCCAUCUUACUUGUACAUAAAAAGAAGAGCUUAUCCAUGCUCUCCUCAAUCCAAGGGUACUGUCGAUUGUUUGAAAGAGGCAAAGAGAAGAAACAUAUUAAAAUAUAUCCACACUCAUUACCACUUCUCAUCAGUAUUAGCUUUUGUCUUUUUGACUAUUCUCCAUGCACAGUGUUUCCACAUUUAGCUUCAAAACUUCUCCUACUUGACAUGGAUUAGUGCUAUUUGACGCACAGAUUCUCACAUCCAAAUACAAAAAUGGGGUAAUAAGUGGACGGUGCAAGGCCCUUCUUCCUUGUAAAAAGCAGAGGUAAAGUAUGGAUUAAAGAAAGAUUUAAGUGUGUUUACUUUCACUGUUGUUUCUUGGGUCCAAGAGGCUUAUAUACUGGGAAUGUUAGAUAGACCGAACCAAGGCAAAAUCCAAAGUCCUCGGGUUUCUUUCUGUCUGAACUAAUUGCUUUCCAGCACCAAACCAUGCCGAGAAAGAAGAGGAAGAAGAUGGUGCUAAGAAUCCCAAGUGUUGGAUAAUGUAACUACCCUCUUCUUCCUUCACUGGAUGCAAGGGGACACAAGGCAAGUCAUCGAGGC